This 164-nucleotide ribosomal RNA is filed under the name uncultured bacterium. RNAcentral describes it as "partial 16S rRNA". It matches the Rfam family "Bacterial small subunit ribosomal RNA", at positions 355 to 511 of the family's 1533-position model. The record is from RNAcentral.
UAGGGAAUCUUCCACAAUGGGCGUAAGCCUGAUGGAGCAACGCCGCGUGUGUGAUGAAGGCUUUCGGGUCGUAAAGCACUGUUGUAUGGGAAGAAAUGCUAGAAUAGGGAAUGAUUCUAGUUCGACGGUACCAUACCAGAAAGGGACGGCUAAAUACGUGCCAG